AUUGAACGCUGGCGGCAGGCCUAACACAUGCAAGUCGAACGAGUGGCGGACGGGUGAGUAAUGUCUGGGAAACUGCCUGAUGGAGGGGUAUAACUACUGGAAACGGUAGCUAAUACCGCAUACCAUCGGAUGUGCCCAGAUGGGAUUAGCUAGUAGGUGGGGUAACGGCUCACCUAGGCGACGAUCCCUAGCUGGUCUGAGAGGAUGACCAGACCGACUGAGACGGAGACACGGUCCAGAGUCCUACGGGAGGCAGCAGUGGGGAAUAUUGCACAAUGGGCGCAAGCCUGAUGCAGCCAUGCCGCGUGUAUGAAGAAGGCCUUCGGGUUGUAAAGUACUUUCAGAGGGGAGACGUUACCCGCAGAAGAAGCACCGGCUAACUCCGUGCCAGCCGCCGCGGUAAUAC
Molecule: ribosomal RNA, 406 nt
Filed under: uncultured bacterium
Lineage: Bacteria
Description: partial 16S ribosomal RNA
Rfam family: Bacterial small subunit ribosomal RNA
Source: RNAcentral